RNAcentral lists this ribosomal RNA (329 nucleotides) under uncultured eukaryote. RNAcentral's name for it is "partial 18S ribosomal RNA". It matches the Rfam family "Eukaryotic small subunit ribosomal RNA", at positions 1470 to 1796 of the family's 1831-position model. The record is from RNAcentral.
CCCUUAGAUGUCCUGGGCCGCACGCGCGUUACACUGAUGCAUUCAACGAGCUUAUAACCUUGGCCGAGAGGCCUGGGCAAUCUUGUUAACGUGCAUCGUGAUAGGGAUAGAUUAUUGCAAUUAUUAAUCUUGAACGAGGAAUUCCUAGUAAACGCAAGUCAUCAGCUUGCAUUGAUUACGUCCCUGCCCUUUGUACACACCGCCCGUCGCACCUACUGAUUGAAUGACUCGGUGAAAAAUCGGGACUGCGAGAACAAUCGAUUAAUUUCGAAUGUACUUGUGGGAACUUUUUUUAACCUCGCCAUUUAGAAGAAGGUGAAGUCGUAACA